UACGCAGGGGGCAAGCGUUAUCCGGAUUUACUGGGUGUAAAGGGAGCGUAGACGGUUAUGCAAGUCAGAAGUGAAAGCCCAAAGCUCAACUUCGGGACUGCUUUUGAAACUGUGUAACUAGAGUGCAGGAGGGGUAAGCGGAAUUCCUAGUGUAGCGGUGAAAUGCGUAGAUAUUAGGAGGAACACCGGCGGCGAAGGCGGCUUACUGGACUGUAACUGACGUUGAGGCUCGAAAGCGUGGGGAGCAAACAGG
RNAcentral lists this ribosomal RNA (253 nucleotides) under uncultured bacterium. RNAcentral's name for it is "partial 16S ribosomal RNA". It matches the Rfam family "Bacterial small subunit ribosomal RNA", at positions 524 to 776 of the family's 1533-position model. The record is from RNAcentral.